GGAAAUGCAACAUUUUACUGAGAUACAAAAACAUUACUGAGAGAUCAUGUAUGGUGUUGUUUGUAACAGUAACUUCUGAAUCUCCCUUACCAUCUCAGUACUCACCUUCUUUGACAGAGACGAAGGAGAAGGCCGCACACAACGACAGAGUGACAGCAUGCAUGACAAGUAUCUGUUUAUUCCUGUCAGUCUCUGAUGGUGUCUGACUAAAAAUAUAUGUCUACAUGCUACUAAGUAGUUAUCUUAUUUGAUGAGUCCAUUAACAAACCCCAGCGAACACAAAAGCAUGGAUUGAGUAAUGUUUUCUCAGAACUGGGUGAGUUCACUUUACAUUUAUUUCACAUUUAUAACAUUAUUAUUCAUGUGUUGGUAUCUUUAUUUUAACUGUAUUAUUUUACUUCGAGACUCAAAUAGCCUCUGAUAUUUAGAAAUUGUUGCAUCGUCUACCGAGUCAGUAAUGAAGGGGAUGACUAUGAAUGUAAAGGAGAAAUGUGGGUUGUAAAACAAAAACUUAAAUCUGACUGCAAAUCCUUUUAACGCAGUUCCACUACACGGUCCCAACUUCACCCCAAGUUAGGGCCAUGCUGGCAAUACACUGUAUGAUUUGCAAAUUACUCUGUUUGUGCUUGCCAAUGUUUGUGUGUGUGUUAGUGUGUGAGAAACAUUUUAGGAGAUUAGAUGGUCAUUAUGUGUAUCAUAGAGAAUUUUCUCUGAGUGGCCCCUACACCUCACUCCACCCAACCCCCCUCCUGCCCCAGAGCUCAGUCCUCUCAGCUGACUCGGCUUUGUGGAACACUGUGAAGGGAGUUCUAUGCGUCUUUUAUAACAAAUUACUCACCCUCAACAAAACAAGAACAGACUGCACAUCUGCCUACCUCACACACACAGACACGCCAUGACUUAAUAAAGUGAUGAAAGGAGAACCGGACUAUAAACACCGGGGGGACUUUCACUGGAUUUUAAACCUGAAAUUGGUGGACUAAAUAUUUUGUUCUUGUGGGAUUCUUUUACAUUGUGGGAUGUAAAUAGACAUAUAUUUUUGGUAUUCGUAACAAAAUGAUGACUCAAUCACUGUGGGGUGAUACAGGCUUUUUACAUUUUUUUAUCUGUCACAUUGAGCUUUCCUGCUGAAACGUUUCAAAGUGACCUUUUCUCCUUUCACAUUCCAACAAGCAUGUUGUUGAUGUGCUCUUAACAACAACACUUGACUACACUGGAGUAGGUCUUAGGAUGUGGGUGCUCAAUGUUUCCCUGGAAGACUGAAACGGAACUUGAACCAAAGAUGACAGACCUCACCGAAGUAUCUGUUUACUCAGAAUCCUCUGACAUUUACAAGAAUGUUUUCUGCAACCCCGCGUUUGAGCUUGAUGGUGAGCGUGAGGAGAAAGUGGAAGGAUUCAGUUCUGCCAGUACUGCCAUGGCCCUAGAGCCAGUAAAGAGCCCAGCUGCAAUCAGUGAGUCUGACAACCUAGUUUCCCUGUUCCAUAACAUCACACCGGAGUUGGAUACGCAACAAGAUUGGUUGAUUCAGAUGCCAAGACCUAUUCAAUUUGAUCUAGCUGUUGUAUUACACCAUUGGAAAGUGGAAACAAAGAUUCUAGGAGGGACAGGAAGGUUCUAACUAAAAGUAAAAAAAAAAAAAAAAAAA
Molecule: long non-coding RNA, 1648 nt
Organism: Oncorhynchus kisutch (coho salmon)
Lineage: Eukaryota; Metazoa; Chordata; Actinopteri; Salmoniformes; Salmonidae
Exons: 2
Source: RefSeq, a predicted model, not a curated record